Molecule: long non-coding RNA, 2401 nt
Organism: Triticum aestivum (bread wheat)
Lineage: Eukaryota; Viridiplantae; Streptophyta; Magnoliopsida; Poales; Poaceae
Exons: 2
Source: RefSeq, a predicted model, not a curated record
AGCCCACUUACUAAUGAGAAGUAACCCAGCAGCACGCCCCGAUCUCCCAGCGCGCCGCCGUCUGCCCCUGGACCAGCGCGCCGUCGACCGGCCCCUGGCCCAGCGCGCUGCCGACUGCCCCUAGCCCAGCACGCCGCCGACCGGUCCCUGCCCCAGCGUGCCGCCGCCGGGCCCCGCCCCAGCACGCCCCCAACCACGGCUGUGCGCCACCACACCGCUCUACUCCUCGCUUCUUCUUCGUCAACGCGGACGGGCCCGAUACUUCCUCACACCGGCCACCGUCGCACCACCUCAGGUACCUCCAUCGCAUCCCCACCCUCACCGUGAUGAGAACGCAUGGAUCUGAAGCUGCAUGUGCAACCCACGAGGCUUGGGGGACGAGCGCGACAACAACACUUGUGUAAGUUCAGGUUGGUAUAAAUGUAUUUGGAGAGGAAUUAUUGAGUUUGUGUUCUUCUAGCGCAAAAUGUGUCUGUCAGUUCAAAAUCCUCAACCCUGUAAGCUCAGAGAAAAAAAGAAACAAAUAAACAAAAUUCAUGAUAGAAAAAAAUUCGUGAAGUUCGCAAGGAAAACAAGAUAAGUUCAAAUAUAAUAAAUAUAUAAGUAGAACAUUGUAGGGAAUUUCAUUGUAGAGUUAACAAUCUGGUGUUGCUGCUGUUUGUGUUGACCGUGACGGAGUAUUUGCUAUUCCGGUAUAAUUACAUUCUGCUAUGAGAAUUUGCUACCGGGGGCAUGAAGUAGCAGCCUGCCAAGUUGCUGCCGCGAAUGAACUUGGUUUAUUGUAGGUGAUUCUACUGAACUUGUGCUAUGUUAUUUAUGGUUAGAACUAUCAAUGGAUAAUGAAGGUGAAAAUGAUUAUAUUGGACUGCAACAACAGAAAACUUAGCUGGAAGUAGGAAGUUUGAUUCAUCUGCUACUGCUCUUUUUGGGCUUCUGCUUUACUCCAAAAAUAUUGUGUUUUGCAUUAGAUGCUAGACAACAUGAUUUCAUUUUAGUACUAACAUUAUUGCGUACACUAAAUUGGCAAUCCCACUGUUGUGUUAACACCUAAUUUUGUUGCUCUAAAUCCGUGAGAUCUUGGAUGUUGGAGUUACCCUUGAAGAAAAAACUUGGGUAUUUGAGUUGCUUCCAUGUGGCGAGUCUUGAUCUUGGUGGCGCGAAGCUACAUUUCAGUAUCCAAGUAUUGCAUCAGGAAGUUGCAUGAGAAGAUUUUCCUUUCAAAUGCAUGCUACGUUUGUAGCUCUCAAAUUUUCUCCUUUGUGGAUGCGUUUGUAAGCAGUCCUCUCUCACCUUUGCUAUCACGUUUUUUUUGUUGAACUUAAGGAGGAUGCUUGGGAUAAAAAUGCCUUUUUUAUUUUGCAAUGCUUGAAGCAAUUUGUUUCAGUAGUACUCCCUCUGUAAACUAAUAUAAGAGUGUUUAGAUAACUAAAAUAGUAAUCUAAACACUCUUAUAUUAGUUUACGGAGGGAGUACAACUGUACAAGUUUUAUUUUUGUAUGUUGUAUGGCUUGCCGACCUGCUCUCUCUCUGAUCUGUGAACUGAUACUUUAUAUUUGGUGAACUCUAUCCUAUAUGUGUGGCGCGCCAAGCACACCCCCGGCUGCCUCCUCCUCUUGCUUACUCCCGCACGAGGCACGCUGCGCCGAGCACGCACCCGGCCGCCCCUGCCUCCGCACAAGUAGCAGUGGGACUGACUGGGAGUGAUCCCUGAACCACUUCAUCAAAGCCCAUGGUUUCCAACAAUGCUAAUGCUACUGGAAAGUGCUAGAGCUCAUGAAGCCUCUUGGCUUCUCGAAUAAGCAGGUUUGGCUAGUUCCUGAAGCGCCUCCUCAAGCUCUUCGACGAUAACUGGGCGUCCAUCAAGGAUGGGAGCUACUGCAUCCUUGUUGACAUCAUACGGGAUGACAAAAAGCAAUGAACCAUUACCUACAACUACCGGUCAUGUAAAAAAUGCUACUUUCAUUUGUUUGGUAGCCUUCCUUAAUUACCAAUUUAUGUUUAGCCUCACCAAUUGCAGUUUUUACUUAAGGUGACGUGCCUAAAAGAGUCCAAGCCUCACAACUCAUUGCGGUCAGACUAGAUCACCAACACCUCUCCUGCCCGAUAUAACAAGGAUGUCGGUGAUAAUGAAAACCUCCCUCACAGUAGAGCGGCCGAGUGCACCUUGCCAUCUACAUUUCAGAGCCCAUCAGUUCAGUGAGAUCUCUCCCAGUACAUGUUCAGUUUUCAUUUUGGUCGGUAGCAAUUUGUUCCUGAAAGAGUUAUGAUUCCCCGCACCCUGCUUAUCAAAGUUCGUUCCAUUUCAUGUUAUUAUUCCAGUGACAACUCAUAUCAAUUGUUAUUUCAUGUUAAACUCAGUUUAGUUUCUGGACGCAUAUAACAUUGGUGUGCGUCAGUGCUA